Molecule: ribosomal RNA, 253 nt
Filed under: uncultured bacterium
Lineage: Bacteria
Description: partial 16S ribosomal RNA
Rfam family: Bacterial small subunit ribosomal RNA
Source: RNAcentral
UACAGAGGGGGCUAGCGUUGUUCGGAAUUACUGGGCGUAAAGGGCGCGUAGGCGGCCCGCUAAGUCGAACGUGAAAUCCCCGGGCUCAACCCGGGAACUGCGUCCGAUACUGGCAGGCUUGAAUCCGGGAGAGGGAUGUGGAAUUCCAGGUGUAGCGGUGAAAUGCGUAGAUAUCUGGAGGAACACCGGUGGCGAAGGCGGCAUCCUGGACCGGUAUUGACGCUGAGGCGCGGCAGCGUGGGGAGCAAACAGG